Molecule: ribosomal RNA, 304 nt
Filed under: uncultured bacterium
Lineage: Bacteria
Description: partial 16S ribosomal RNA
Rfam family: Bacterial small subunit ribosomal RNA
Source: RNAcentral
CAGCAGUAGCCGCGGUAAUACGGAGGGUGCAAGCGUUAAUCGGAAUUACUGGGCGUAAAGCGCACGCAGGCGGUUUGUUAAGUCAGAUGUGAAAUCCCCGAGCUUAACUUGGGAACUGCAUUUGAAACUGGCAAGCUAGAGUUUUGUAGAGGGGGGUAGAAUUCCAGGUGUAGCGGUGAAAUGCGUAGAGAUCUGGAGGAAUACCGGUGGCGAAGGCGGCCCCCUGGACAAAGACUGACGCUCAGGUGCGAAAGCGUGGGGAGCAAACAGGAUUAGAUACCCGCGUAGUCCCUGUCUCUUAUAC